UUUCAGCUACAGCACGUGGGAUGUCUAUCUCCAUAGCCAAGGACAGUGCCUGCUGACUUCCACCUGCUGCCCCGGUGACCCAGGGUUUCCGGCACAUGUCACGUCCAGCCUGGGAUUCACAUUGGCAUGAGGCCCUCCACUUCCUGUGUUUAGCACCCCCUGGUGGCAGCGGCCCCUCAUGACUGCCUAGAGCAUUCUGGCCCAGGUUCAGUCUCCCAGCCCCUAGGCCCUGCUGGGACUGAGAAGAGGAGUAACAGCUGGCCUGGCCCCUGAUCCAGACUCCAUUCCCAUCUCAGCAGCCUGGCCCUGCCUCCUGACAUCCCAAAAGACCCAGGGGUGGAGACCGAUCCGACACCUGAUUCCUGGAUAAUCCCAGCAGCAAGACCUCACCUGCCUGUUGGGUGGAUGAAGAGAGAGCUGACGCCUAGGUGGGCACCCACACGCUUCCUGCACAGAUAAGCGGGCAGAGCAGCCAGCAGCAGGCAUGGUGGAUGAGUGACGGGAAUGAAAUCCACCAGUCUGGGAGCCUCCCAUGGGUGAGCAGGCACUGGGCUACUCCAGGAGGCGGAGCCCGCCGGCACCCACGUGACUGCCAUGCCCUCAUUCCCCAGUUGCCCACUGGCUCCGGCCCUGCCGCAAAAUGCCUGGACCAAAAACUUCGCCGAGGUGAUGGAAUCUCAUUAAUGAGGAUUUCCAUGCACCGAGUCAUCUUGGGGAUGUGACAAAUCAGAACAUCCCACUCUGGCAUCAGGAAAAGGGCUUUCUCACCAAUGAGCGCAGCACAGUGGAGGCUGAGGCCAGGAACAGAGGAGGCCACAGGUCUGCUUAACCCAAACAGGCCAGAGAGUGCAACGGAGCCCUUAUUCCUGGUCCAGCCCAACCUCCAACUGCCUGUGUGGCUUCACAAGGUGAGGCAUUCUGUGAGACUCCUCGGGCACGCAUUCAACAGUUCUGCCCAAAGACAAUUUGGGAGCAGGUGCAGCCAGCUCUCCUAAUGCCACCACUUUCUGUGUGUUCAUCUCUGAAACAGCCAGAGCGGCGGCACAGGGCAGGAGGUGGGUGCAGGUGGCAGGUGCACCCUCAGGCAGCGAUGGGCACCCAGUCAGAUGCCUCAACUUGGCAUUCAGGACCCUCCACUUCAGGGACACCUGUCUGCCAAGCUGAAGGGAGGGCUUCCUGGGGUCCCCUGAAGGAAGUGCUUGCUCCAGUGUAUCCCCGCCACAACAGGAGGGUGCUGUGCACCCCCACAGCCUUUCUCUGUCCUUUCCUCUGCUGACUUUGCCAUCAAUGCCCCCCACCAGCAGGCCUUCAAGGCUGCAUCCCCCAUAAAAUCUGGCCAAAGAGUAGACUUGGGAACCUUUCCCCAAACCCCUGUCCCCAUAACCCAGGGCAGCAGCACUAGGAGUGACAGGCAACUUGGCGACAAGAACAUGGGAAUUAAGGAGUCCUAGGCCCUGUGGCCUGGCCCAGCCUCCUGGGCACUGACCAGGUCUCACAAAGGCUCCCAGACCCCAUCAAGCCCACACUCAAGACUGAAAAGGGAGUGGGCACUUAGCCUAGUGGUGAAGACACCAUGUCCCACACCUGAGUAACUGGAUUUCAUUCCCAGCUCCGGCCCCUGACUCCAGCUUCUAGCUAAUGUAGACCCCGGGAGGAGGCAGUGAUGGCUCAAAUUACUGGAUUCCUGCUAUUGUGGUGUAGUGGGUAAAGCCGCCACCUGCAACACCAGCAUCCUAUAUGGAAGCUCGUUCUAGUCCCGCUGCUCCACUUCUGGUCCAGCUCUCUGCUGUGGCUUGGGAAGGCAGUAGAAGAUGGCCCAGGUCCUUGGGACUCUGCACCUGUGUGGGAGACCUGGAAAAACUCCUGGCUCCUGGCUUUGGAUCAGCCCAGCUCUGGCUGUUGCAGCCAUUUGAGGAGUGAACCAGUGGAUAAAAGACCUCUGUGUGUGUGUGUGUGUGUGUGUGUG
Non-coding RNA from Oryctolagus cuniculus (rabbit), 1966 nucleotides. The record is from RefSeq and is a predicted model, not a curated record. NCBI's taxonomy places the organism in Eukaryota, Metazoa, Chordata, Mammalia, Lagomorpha, Leporidae.